UUUAGCUCAGUUGGUAAAGCAUGACUCUUUUAAUCCCAGGGUUGUGGGUUUGAGCCCCACACUGGGCAAAA
Molecule: non-coding RNA, 71 nt
Organism: Podarcis lilfordi (Lilford's wall lizard)
Lineage: Eukaryota; Metazoa; Chordata; Lepidosauria; Squamata; Lacertidae
Source: the annotation of a GenBank genome assembly